GGAAGGAGAAGUCGUAACAAGGUUUUCCAAUGGUCCUUCUCGCCCCUGUUGGGUUCGAGUCGCACGGAAGCCUGAGCGGUGCAUGCGAUGCAUGCGUCGCUAGUGCCCUUUGAGGGUGCGAUGCUAUCAAAUUGCGGGGAAGCCCUUGGAAGUUAAAUCUUUCCCACCACUUUUGCUACCAAGCACGGCGGCCGAUGGCCGAGUGUGGCCAAGUCAAUGAGCUUGGGUAUGGUGACAACGCAAAGUGGGUUGGACAACCCGCAGCCAAACCGUCGGCAUUCGGCGGUGCUGCUCACAGACUAGAUGAUAGCAGGUUGAUGCAGCCCUUAGGCUCGCCAGCUCAAGAUAUAGUCGGUCCAUGCGGGAGACCGAUGGAAGUGUAWUUMNCUUCUGCAUGAGUAUUCACCGUUCCGUAGGUGAACCUGCGGAAGGAUCA
This 436-nucleotide ribosomal RNA is filed under the name Penium exiguum. Its description in RNAcentral is "partial 18S ribosomal RNA". The stretch from base 72 to 375 matches the Rfam family "Group I catalytic intron". Rfam says of the family: Group I catalytic introns are large self-splicing ribozymes. Lineage: Eukaryota; Viridiplantae; Streptophyta; Zygnematophyceae; Desmidiales; Peniaceae. The record is from RNAcentral.